Molecule: ribosomal RNA, 459 nt
Filed under: uncultured bacterium
Lineage: Bacteria
Description: partial 16S ribosomal RNA
Rfam family: Bacterial small subunit ribosomal RNA
Source: RNAcentral
CCUACGGGUGGCAGCAGUGAGGAAUAUUGGUCAAUGGCCGGAAGGCUGAACCAGCCAAGCCGCGUGAAGGACGAAGGUGCCAAGCAUUGUAAACUUCUUUUGUCAAGGGACAAAAUCAGGCUCGAGAGCCUGACCGAGGGUACUUGAAGAAAAAGCAUCGGCUAACUCCGUGCCAGCAGCCGCGGUAAGACGGAGGAUGUGAGCGUUAUCCGGUUUUAUGGGGUUUAAAGGGUGCGUAGGCGGGCUGUUAAGUCAGCGGUAAAAGCCCGGGGCUCAACCCCGGCGAGCCGUUGAAACUGGCUGUCUUGAGAUGUCGAGAGGUAUGCGGAAUGCGCAGUGUAGCGGUGAAAUGCUUAGAUAUUGCGCAGAACUCCGAGUGCGAAGGCAGCAUACCGGCGGCGAUCUGACGCUGAGGCACGAAAGCGUGGGUAUCGAACAGGAUUAGAUACCCCAGUAGUC